GAAAACAUGCAAAGGAUCGAAGAAUUUUAGAGAGAGAAAGUAGAGAGAAGGGAGAGCAACGGAAGAGUCUCGAAGAGACUCAGAUAUUAUUUCAGAGAAAAAUGACCCAUCGGUUUACACAAACGACCCCUGACCCCUAUAUAUCAAAUAGCCCUCUUGCAAAUAUAGCCUAGUUAUUACAGAAAUGGCCUAAUUACACAAAUAACCUAAUUACAGAAAUAUACUAAUUACAAAGAUAGCCUAAUUACACAAGUAGCCUAAGUAGCCUAUUAGGCUCAGAUAUGAC
This 286-nucleotide long non-coding RNA is filed under the name Nicotiana benthamiana. Its description in RNAcentral is "long non-coding RNA (NBEN_LNC020206)". Lineage: Eukaryota; Viridiplantae; Streptophyta; Magnoliopsida; Solanales; Solanaceae. The record is from RNAcentral.